ACCAAUGAUAGACAAAGGCACAGAAGAAGGGCACCUGCUGCCCAGAAACUUCUCUAAUUAAACAAAAAAGACUGACUGGGAGAAAAAGGUGACAGAAAAAGAAGAAAUUGAAGUGGGGAAUUCUUUCCCACUUAUAUGGUUGGUCCAAGAAAGAUGACCCUAAAAUCACCUUGAUCCUAUGCAUAUUGCCCAAACCAUUAUCACUACAACAAUACUCCAACCCUACUGGGAGGAAGGAUAUAGCUUUUAUUCAAAUGAGACAGACAUAGCCAAUCAUGGAGCAAAGCUGUCGAUGCUAGGAGACAAUGGCCAGGUGGUUGCUUAGUGCAAGGUGAUUGUGAUCCAGUUACAUUCCAUACUGCCAAAGAGGAGAGAUUAAACCUGUAAUUAUAUGGCCAUGACAUCACAUCACAUGAUCAGUGUUUUUAAUCAUCUAAUCCCCCCAAAUUAAAGAUAAUGAGUAAUACAACUGAUAGGAGGAAAACAUUACAAAAAAAAAUACAAAUGGAAGUGGAGAAUCCUAGGGGAAUAGUUCAUCAUUUGGCCAAAGGGCCAUGACUCCACAUUCAAGAAAGAGAAACCUUUGUUUCUAAGCCCCUCUGCAUUCAGUAAGUAAGGGAAGGCAGCAAAUAAGGACCAAGCAGCAGUACCAAACAAGGAGAAAAAGGAGCAAUAAAUGGCACUUGGUAGAAAUUAGGAAGAGUGGGUUCUGCCAUCUGAGUUGACUCAGGAACUGACAACAACAACAAUGGGUUGUCCACUUCUCUGUCCACCAAUCUAGAGAGGAGCAGGGGGGGCACACUUUACAAGUAAAGCUCACAGACAUUUGCUGACAACAGAAGAGUGGGGAGACUCAUGGAUAUUCCCAGGAUCUGGACAGGGGUCUAUCCCAGGAUUUGGACAGGGAUGCAUUCUAGUGACCCUAGGGCCCUGUGCCCAUUCUCUCUCCCCAACAAGCCUGACCUCUGCUUUUAGGUCUUCUCCAACUUGGCCUUGUCCCAGUUCCAUUUUCCGUCAUUCUUGACUCCUUGCUAAGCAUCCAAGCACUCAGUUGGAUAUCUAACAUCCCAUUGCAAGGCCUUAUUAGAAAAUGCGUGGAGAAGGUGACUUAGAACAUUUCAUAGAGAAGAGAGAUAUGGAGCAUGGUCCCCUUCCUGGCUCCUAAGGGAAAGGUACAUCCUUCCGCUCUCAUUGUGCCUUUGAAAAGACAGGACAUGGCCUGUGUUAAUUCAUCAGCAGUACACUCCACUGAAACAGUUUGCAAACCUCCAAGUUAUACCUCACAGCUUCUUGGAAUCUGUUAAAAAAUGCUACAUUCGCUUUAGCAAAAAGACAUGCAGGUAAAGGAGGGGGUGGAGCAGAAAUUGAUUGCACCACAGGUGAUAUUAACCAACUGUUUACAUGUUUCUCAGGAGAUUUAGCCAGGGUUUACAUGGACCAGAAAAAACUCAAAAGCUUUUUAGAAGAAAAAUUUCAGAUGGAUGGACAGAGAAAGCGACAGAGCAAAAAGCAACAUAUGCUUCAUAAAGCAAUGGAGGUUAGAAACAAAGCCACAGUACAAUUUAUAUAUAUCAUAUAUACCUUAAUGAGGUAAUCAGUAAAUGGCUAGGGUCAAUAGUAGCCAAUGGAUUUUUUGGCAAUUCUAUUUAGAAUUUCAUAAAGAAGUUGAGGACUAUAGCCCCAAUCAAAUAACAUGCACAUGCUUUAUUUCAAGAAUGUCUAUGAUCCCAGGGAGCUUGAUAGACUGCUCCCAUGAUUGUUUCUUAGCAAGUUGCAUUAGUGUUUGCAGGAUCAGUGUACAACACAGAAGGAAACUGGACCCUGUCAGUUUUUAAAUUUGAUGUGCAAAGUUCUAUAAUCCUUGACCGUCCUAAUCUCCAGGUAUGGUCUCCACUGUUGUAUCUGUCUUUUCACCAUCUUUCCAUUAAAAUGGUUAUGUACCUCAGGCAAAACUCUGGCUACACCAAAGUCAAUGUCAAGACUCCCAUUUAAUUCAGUAGGGCCAACCUUUUAUCCUCAGUCACCCCCAGAGUUGGGUUUUUAUAGCAGAAUCUGGGACACAGACUCCUAGACCUGCAAGCAGUUUACACUCAACAUAUAGGACUGUCCUAGAACUGAUUGUUUUUCAUGCCAGGUAAUCAGCAGCCUAGAUUUGUGCCAGUUGCUAAUAAAGGCACAAACAAGAAAAGAUCAUCCUCUUGGGUAAGAAGUCAGGGCAUGGGGAGAUGUCAGAAGUGGAAGCUGAUGAUGUCAAAACUGAAAGAUAAAGUGCACCCUGCCAUGACAUGUAUUGUUGUGCAGGAGUCCUCAAAUGGCAUUGUUCCACACAAUCUUACACAUUUUUUUGGAAACAAGCGAGCAGGAUAUAAUGCUAGAAGAUGUGCUGUAUUGUGACUGGUUGUGUGACAGAUGCUCUUUUCUUAACACCAAGGGAAACAACAGGGUGACAAAACUAUAGAAGGCACUACAGCUCAGUGGCCACAGAUUAGUAGAAAGUAGCUUUGACCCAGUUCUGCUAUGUGUAAAAUGGGGUGGGGGACGGACUCUUUACCUUCUGCACUAGGGGCUAGGGUGUUAAUUAACAAAAGCCUGCACAGUCCUUGAAAAGCAUAAAAGCUCCACAGCAGACAGUGUUUAGAUGUCUCAUCCUGAGGAAGAGCAGGGAGCAACACUGCCCAGGGAGGACACAGCUUUUGAGUUUGGGUGCAAGAUGGAGAAAAUGUCUGCAAAUUAAUUGAUUCUUUUCAAGGAGAAGCAAGUUAGUUGAUAAAUUAAACUUUCUUGGUAGUGGUGAGACAGGCAUGUUAGAGACAGUCCCAAUGUCAGGCCUCAGCAUCUGUUCAAAUAUGGAACAUGGAAGUGAGAUUUCCUGACAUUUCCCAUUCAGCAUGUGACAGAGUCUCUGGACACAGGGUCUAUUGCACAGUGUGUGUCCAGAGGUGUAUCCAAUGCCUAGCCCCCAUGACACUUGUGAGAGGGUAAACUGGUAAAAUUAGGUCAUCUCUAGGCUCCUGCGUGGGAAUCCUGGUCCUGCUGAAAUCAGUGACAAACCUCCCCUGGGCUUCAAGAUGGUCAGAAUUUUCCUCCAUGGUCAUCAGACUGCAUCUCAGCCCUUCAGAAACAAACUCAAAGAGAAGCAAUGCUUCUCCUAGUUUGUCCUUCGCUGACCUUUCCUGAACUGGCUGUUUCUUUAUUUCCUAUAUUUAUUCUGUUAGAUUUAUAUCCCACCCUAUCCAAAAGGCUCUGGUGAUACAUGUCACUUUGCACGAGAGGCUCUUAUUGUUUGUCCUAAAAGUUUGAAUCACACCCAGGAGACAGCUGUUGCCAUGUACAGAAGGGAGAAUGAAGGAAUUCAUUAACACAUGUAUUGUCCUUUCUCAUUUGUUCCUGCUACAGAAAAACAAGACCAAAGAAAUGACUGAUGAAAUUACAAAUAUAAUGACCUGGUUUGUAGCUGAAGUAACAGACAUUAUAUACGCAGCAAUAGAUACAAUAUGAAGAGGAAAAAAUAGCUGAGAGAGACAUGAGAGAUGAGGAGGCCAAUGCCAGUAAGUUUGUCUUCACAGACAGAAAGAGAACACCCAGAAGAUCCCCAGGAUGUGUGAAGAGAGGGACUCUGGGGUUCAAACCUUCUACAUCCCCCCUGGACACACUAACUAAACCAAGGGCAGUCCGCUCCAGAGUAACUCUACCCCACAUUGGCAGGCAGCUUGCAAGAAAGCCCUUCUUUUCACCAUGUUGAAAGAUAUUUCCUGAAGAGGAAGUACCGCAUAAGGCAGUACAGGGAGCUCACAGCAAGCCCCUGCCAACAUAUGGAAUUGAGCCUCAGCCUUUGCAGUCACCAGCCAGUAUUUAUGCUGAUGCUUUUUUGAAAGAUGUGAUGAACUAAUGAGCAAACUGGUCCCUUCACAAAAUCUACAUGCUCAGGACUGUGCAAUCCUUGGAUGCGAUCUUUCAUGUAUCAGCACAAAUGUAGUUGAUUCAGUGCUAAAUAAGCUUUCCAUAUGUCAGGCCACAGACCUGCAGCCUUCUGAAGAUCAGUCUCUCCCCUCUGACAUAGACACAUUGACGGCCAAAAUUAUUCACUCCAGUUUAUCUGACCUUCUGCAAGAAAGUGCUUCCAAAGUCUCCGUUUAUGCAGACAUGAAAAGAAACAAGAGUACAUCAGCAGAGAGCUUAGGUAUUUUGAUAAGGAGAGAAAUUACUGAUUACCAACAGGAAGAACCCUUAGCAAAAGCACCCUCUUCAGCUCUGUAUAAACCUCUAGAACCUGGGAAAAUUGAUGAGAAGCUUUUAGAAGAUGCUACCAAAAGCAAUGCCCAAUGUCAAAGUCCCACACCAUCUACUCUGGGGGUAUGCCACAGAUUUUUGGAAGAUAUAAUCAGCAGGCUUUUAUCUAACAUUCUCCCUGCCACUGCCAGCACAUCUUCCGCUACAGAAAAGAAAAUGGAACUUGCAGAAUUUGACUUGACUCACAUGAAAGUAAUCAGUAAAGUUAUUGCAAAAAUCUCUGAAGAUGAGAACUCUUCUUGCCAGCAUAUCGAACAUCUGCAUUUCAGGGAGGAUGACAUGAUUCAUACAAUUGCUGAUUCAGUCUAUAACAAGCUUUUGACACAAUGUCAGUCUAAAUUCAACAUGUAGGAGUGUUUAAGAAGUGGGUGCAUGAUUAUUUCUGAAGCUCUUUGUGACUUGGUCUUCCAAGAGAUUUCUGGGAAUCCAUUUCAGAGCUCUCUUUUUGGAGAAUUACCACUUCACCACUGCGCUGAAGCUGACAAUAUUGUUGAAAAUACAUUAAGAGACAUUACUGAGCCUUCAGAUAACCCAAACCGUUUAUCAUCAGAACUUAGUAAAAUAGUUCCUCUUAUCAUACAAAAACUAACAGCAAAUCUUUUGUCAACAUUUUCUUCCCUCUUACCCAUUGCGGAUUUAGAUGCAGAAAAGACUUCAUUACUGAAUGAUGCAACUAGAAAAAUAUUACAUGCUUUGCAAGUACUCCUGUCAAAACAUCAGAUGAACAUGAAUGAACAUAUCAGUGAAAGAGAAUCUUUACACACUGAAGACAGCCAGUCUAUAGGAGACAAGUUAUUUCCAUAAAAACAGAACCUCUUGAGGAACUGCAAGAAGUAUUCAUUGCUCAGACUGGGGAUGGCCUAAGAGACCUAAGAGCAUUGCUGGCUGAGAAGUGUCUUGAAGAUGAAAGUUCAAGAUUUGAGGUACAGAGAGAAGAAGACAGUCAUUUAUCUCUGAGUAGCACAGGACAACCAGUUGUAAGACCAGGGGAGAUAAGUGGAAAGAAUAAGGCAGGGGCAAUCCUGUUUUGUGAAUGCCAUUUUGCUUCUAACUGAAUCUUUUGUUAAGAUGUUCAUGUGGCAUUGAAAGCCCAUCUACUGUAAAUGCUGAAUGCUCUUAUAAAGGUGGUGAACCAUCUCCUGGACAGCAUGCAGUGUGUCAUCAGUGUGGAGGACCCUCACUAGCUGGGAUUUUGGGCCUUCAGCAGGACCUAAUUCGGGAAGGUGAUGAAGCCUAUGUUGAAUAUUCUGCAAGCUCUUCAACCCAAGGUGGGCCUCCUUGCAUGACUGGCAGACCACCACACUGAGAAGGAGGAAGGAGAGGAGAAGGUAGAGGACAAGCUUGAAGCAGAGCAACAGUGGGAGGAAGAAGAGGAGCUGCAGCAGAUAGAGGAGAUCAUUCAAAUUGAAUCCUCUCUGUAUUUGGGGAGCCUGUUGACUUCAUCCAUACACAGUGAACAACUAAGUGAGAAUGUUGAAGAACCAUCACCAUCACUGGAAGCACAGAGAGCAAGUGAAUGAAGUUCUGCUGACACGUGCCAGGCCUGGGAUACAGAAGACUCUUCAUACACGUCUGAGGUCAAUAUUUUGUAAAACCUUCGGUAACAGAACCCCAGGAAGUUGGCCCACAAAAGUUGGAAACACUGUCUGAAGAUGCUGGAAAGAAAGAUCUUCCCAUACCAGAAGAAAUGGGGGUUGAUACAGACAGCAGCUGCUCCCAGUGUUCAAAAAAAUGGUCUUCCCUUUUUAACAAGAUACCGAAUGCUGUGUCCAGAAUGCACUCUCUCCUCUCAAGUUGCCUACUGCACCACAGGAAAUUUCGGAAAGUCUCACCUGAGAUUAUACCUACAUGUUAAAUUGGUUUAGGAAAAAUAUAAAUAGAGUUAAGAAAAAAUGUGGUCUGGUGGAGGCUGCUAAUUGUACUUCGUGAUCAUUUGCAACUUCAUUCUCAUAUAAUUAAACUCAACAAGGAGGGCAGACAGAGAAGGCAGACAGGAGACCUACUCCACAGUGGGGAGGAAGGCUCCUUUUAGGAUGCAUUAUUCGGGAGUUAAGGUGCCCUCCCAAGCAGUUGGCUGUGCCACAGGAGGGGUGUCGGAGAGAGAGGUCAGGAUCUGACCCAACCAGCAGGUAGUGCCACAAAGGGCCAGAGAACUCCUUGAGAUAACUUGGAGGUGCCACCUAGAAAGGGUGGGGAGUUAAAGCCAGCAGAUAAUGCCAUUUGGAGAUGGCAACAAUCUCCACCUGGAAUCACAGGGUAAUCAGAAGGCCCCUGGAAUCACGGACUGACUUGUUAUUCUCAGCACCAGGAGAGGGAACAAUUUUGCGAGUCUUUAUCUACAGUGACUGAGGUUUAACCCAAGCUCUCUAAGUAGAAGAGCAGAGUGGCACAGCUGUCUGAGGGGAGCAAACACCCAGGACUGAGGACCAGUGUGUCUUGUCCUGGCAGCAGUGAGAAGUGAAGGGUAUAUUAAUGUCCCAGACCCCUGCUCUCCGCCUAGGGAGCUCAGGGCCACCAGAGGAGCCUUCAGACUCACUCCUAUGAGGGCCUGAAUCAUCUCUGACCCAUCGCUAAUUUGUACUGCUUUUCCCUCAAGGGCUGGAAUUACUCUGGUGCUGGGGGAAGGGGUACUGCCAAGGUCACUGCUGCCCACCCCCAAAAUUCAAAGCUUCGGGGGAAGAGCCUCCAAGCUAGGACUGCCCCCCCCAAAUAAUGAAGAUGUCUUUAAUAUGGACUGCCUAUACAUAUGUUCAUUGGUGUUCUAAUUAGAAUGCAUUGCAGCAGAUGCGAUUAAUCGCAUCUGCUCCAUGUUCUAAUUAGAAAGUGGCAGCAAUGUCACAGCAUCACAUGUAUUAAGCCCCUGCACAUUUUAAAAUGGCCGCAGGGCGCUUUAACUAAACCUCAUUGACUGAAGUUUAGCUAAAGUGUCCCACAGCCAUUUUUAAACAUGCGGGGGCUGAAUACACAUGCUGUUGAGGCAUUUUAAUUAGAAUGGCUGCCCAGAAACCGCUCUAAUUAAAAUGUCCCAUGCUCCCCGCCCCCUCUGAGCAUGUAUAUAGGCAGCCAUGAUUUCUUUAAGCUCUUGCUUUUUGAACAUCCCCCUUCCAUAAGUGGGGACAGUUUCCAGGCUGCUGGCUGCCAUAUGGGCAGAACAGGAAACUCUGAUGCCUGGUCCCACCUGGCGUUUGCACUGCCUGUCUGUGGGCACAGCUUCUCCACAAUGAUGUUGUACUGUAAGCCACAGGCUGGGCUGCUGAGGCCUGUUCCAGUGAGUCCAGUUUCUGCUCUCUGCUGUUCCUCCUGCACCUGUAGCUUCAGGAGUGUUUCCCAUCCUUCCCCAGGCCAGGAAGGGGCUCCACUGAAACUCUCCUUACUUAUUCUCACACCUCUUAGCAAGAAUGGGCCUGCCUGACCUAGGGCUCACAGGAUGGGAAAAGAUGGGGGAGUGGUAUUGUCUGCAUUGGCAUUCUCCAUCGUCCUUCCAUGUGAGGCAUGUUGGGUUACCAGAGUGAGGAGGGAGAGCUGCUGCUUCCUGAGGAGCCGAGGGUUACCGUACAUCCGGGUUUACCCAGACAUAUCCUCUUUUUUGGCCCUCUGUCUUUGUGUCCAGGUGUGUUUUUAAAAUGUGAGCAAAUGUACAGGUUUUUGCUUUGCCUCUGCUUUUCCUGGGCAGAAGCAGCUUGGAUGUUUGGGGCUGGGAGCAGGGGGCAAGGUGAUUGGCUGUUGGGGUCACAUGCUCUGCAUGAGGGCCUGGCAAGAGUGUGUGUGCAUGUGCGCAUGUAGGAGCUGUGUGGCCAGCAGGUCUGGAGGGACAGGGGUCUCUGGGUCAGUAGUGAAGGGCACCACCAGUGCUGAGCGGCAGGGGGCUGCAGGUCAGGAGUGAGGGGCACUGGCAGGGUUGGGAGGGGCAGGGGCUUAGGAGUGAGGGGCAAAGGCA
Long non-coding RNA from Alligator mississippiensis (American alligator), 8227 nucleotides. RefSeq lists it as uncharacterized. Lineage: Eukaryota; Metazoa; Chordata; Crocodylia; Alligatoridae. The record is from RefSeq and is a predicted model, not a curated record. The transcript has 6 exons.